AACGAACGCUGGCGGCAUGCCUAACACAUGCAAGUCGAACGAGCCCUUCGGGUCUAGUGGCGCACGGCUGCGUCACGCGUGGGAACCUGCCCUUAGGUUCGGACUAACUCCCCGAAAGGGGUGCUAAUACCGGAUAAUGUCUUCGGACCAAAGAUUUAUCGCCUUUGGAUGGGCCCGCGUUGGAUUAGCUAGUUGGUAGGGUAAAAGCCUACCAAGGCGACGAUCCAUAGCUGGUCUGAGAGGAUGAUCAGCCACACUGGGACUGAGACACGGCCCAGACUCCUACGGGAGGCAGCAGUGGGGAAUAUUGGACAAUGGGCGAAAGCCUGAUCCAGCAAGGCCGCGUGAGUGAUGAAGGCCUUAGGGUUGUAAAGCUCUUUUACCCGGGAUGAUAAUGACAGUACCGGGAGAAUAAGCUCCGGCUAACUCCGU
RNAcentral lists this ribosomal RNA (432 nucleotides) under uncultured bacterium. RNAcentral's name for it is "partial 16S ribosomal RNA". It matches the Rfam family "Bacterial small subunit ribosomal RNA", at positions 29 to 506 of the family's 1533-position model. The record is from RNAcentral.